RNAcentral lists this unclassified non-coding RNA (355 nucleotides) under uncultured fungus. RNAcentral describes it as "partial contains small subunit ribosomal RNA, internal transcribed spacer 1, and 5.8S ribosomal RNA". The stretch from base 1 to 73 matches the Rfam family "Eukaryotic small subunit ribosomal RNA", at positions 1759 to 1831 of the family's 1831-position model. Lineage: Eukaryota; Fungi. The record is from RNAcentral.
GCAAACUUGGUCAUUUAGAGGAAGUACAAGUCGUAACAAGGUUUCCGUAGGUGAACCUGCGGAAGGAUCAUUACAAAUCCAUCACGUCUCUCUCCCGAGACCACGUUGAAAUGUUGUACCAAGUGCGGGUGCAUGUGGCAGUGCGCGGCGGCGGCAGGCCUUCCUCCCCCCCCUCCCCUCCGGGUGGUGGUGGUGGUCGGUCGGUCGGCCUUGUCGUCGUCGUCGUCUCACUGCCCAUGUCGUCCCGUACGGCACAAACGAGUUGAUAUUGUUGUCCAAGUGUAUUGUGUUUUCGAACCUCAGUACAACUUAUAACAAUGGAUCUCUAGGCUCUUGCAUCGAUGAAGAACGCAGC